This 352-nucleotide ribosomal RNA is filed under the name Membracioides sp. UCR ENT 00097834. Its description in RNAcentral is "partial large subunit ribosomal RNA". Lineage: Eukaryota; Metazoa; Arthropoda; Insecta; Hemiptera; Schizopteridae. The record is from RNAcentral.
GAUUUAUAUUUAAUGGCUGCAGUAUUUUAACUGUACGAAGGUAGCAUAAUCAUUUGUUUAAUAAUUUUAGACUAGAAUGAAAGGUUUAAUAAGAAUUAAACUUUCUUAUUUAUAAGUAGGAGAAUUUAUUUUUUUAGUAAAAAAACUUAAGUUUUUUUAUAGGACGAGAAGACCCUAUAGAACUUAAUAUAUAUUAUAUAAUAUAUAUAUAUUAUAUAUUUAAUUGGGGAGAUUUAAAUUUUUUCUUAACAAUUUUUAUUUUUUAUCAUUGAUUUUUGAUUUUUUUGAUCCAAUAUUUUUUGAUUAUAAGAUCAAGUUACCUUAGGGAUAACAGCGUAAUUUAUUUGGAGAG